Triticum aestivum (bread wheat) is the source of this 1447-nucleotide long non-coding RNA. RefSeq lists it as uncharacterized. The record is from RefSeq and is a predicted model, not a curated record. The transcript is spliced from 7 exons. NCBI's taxonomy places the organism in Eukaryota, Viridiplantae, Streptophyta, Magnoliopsida, Poales, Poaceae.
CCACCCCGCAGGAGGAACGCCGUUCCUCCCGAUCCCCUCCCAUCGCCGCCGCCGUCCUCUCGAUCCCCUCGAGUAAGCGGCGCCGCCGUUGGCUCCCGACCAUGGCGGAUUCCCACGGAAGCCGCAGCAGGGCAUGGUCGCGUUAAUCGCAUGGAGGGUCGCGUCGAGGAAAGCGACGACCUCGCAGGCAUCGGGUCAAGCGGCUGGCCCUUCUUAAGCGAUUGCGCCGUUCUUUUCUUCCCCGGCAGAGAUUGGUGCCGCCACGGCCGCAUCAUGGAUUUUGCCCUGCAUGCCUCUGAUUUGGGAGUCUGUUUUUUUUUGCGUUAGAUCCUGAUUUGGGCGGGAUUUUUUUUCCCAGGCAUUGAGCGCGCGCUGGACGGUGGGAACUGUCGCGUCAAGGAGGUCGCUAUGGACGGUGGAUCCAGGGCGCUGCACGUCGCUGUCGGCCACGGGAGGAUGCCAUACCCUUUGGGCGCAACAAACUCUUGGCCAUAUCCUCUUCCGCUUUUCACAACAAGAAAGAGAUGCAUAUGAGAGGAAGAGAGCCUCCCCCAAGCUCUGUCUAGGCGAUGCACGGGAAAUUUGGAAACUAUCAAGGAGAUGUCCAAAGAUGAAUAUACUCAGACACUGAGACACAUUCUAAAACGUGUUUACGCAGGUGAUGGGGCUGCCGCCAACUUGGGCCCGCUCAAGAACAACGACUCUACAGGAGGGGGAUGGAGUCGCGGAAGCUCCUGUGCUAUUGGGAGCGACGGUUCCACAAUGAGCCGGUCUUUUGUCACAUCUGAGUUGGAGGAUGUCCAAGGCCAGAAGUGUUUGUCACCACUAAGCCGUGGCUGAGAUAAUACUGACGCGAUGUCCAGAUUUGGAUGUCUCAUCUCUGAACAAUUGAAACGCCGAAUACUCCAUGAAAGCUUGCCUAGCGGCUUUUGCGCAAUAUUAUAUCUUUGGACGUUUGCACUUCCGCGGCUCUAGACAUGAGCUUCCUUAUAUGAGUGCUAGCGCGCUACAUUGCAGAGAAAGCUUUGAGAAAAUGCUUUGUUGGGAUGAUAGACAAGAAUAAUCAAUCCUCAUUCCAAGGUUUGGAUUUUCUUCAACCCGCAAGGCCCAUCCAGUUGUGAGCUACAAUGAAUUUGUUAAGAGUUGGGAGAGACAACAUUGCACAUCAGAGUCUCCAUUUCAUCUGAGCAGGGUGGUGAGGGUCAGAACUGGUCAUGUUGAAAGUCAGUUUAGCGCAUCAAGGAUGGGAGGUUCAGAGAUUUGCAAGAGGUGAUGGAGGAUGGUUAGUUAUUAUGGCUCAUCAUAUAGCAGUGAAAGAUGAGUACAAGCACAAGCUUAUUCAAAAUUUGCAGUUCUUGACUACAUGGGACAUAUAUUUUGUAAUCUUUUUCAUUUCUUCUAAAAGGAUCAAAUAUGUAUUUUGUUCUUCCCAAUGUUCUGAAGGACG